RNAcentral lists this long non-coding RNA (285 nucleotides) under Mytilus galloprovincialis (Mediterranean mussel). The record is from RNAcentral. Lineage: Eukaryota; Metazoa; Mollusca; Bivalvia; Mytilida; Mytilidae.
CCCGCUAACAUGUUUAACCCCGCCACAUUAAUUAUGUAUGUGCCUGUUCCAAGUCAGGAGCCUGUAAUUCAGUGGUUGUCGUUUGUUUAUGUGUUACAUAUUUGUUUUUCGUUCAUUUUUUUACAUAAAUAAGGCCGUUAGUUUUCUCGUUUGAAUUGUUUUACAUUGUCUUAUCGGGGCCUAUUAUAGCUGACUAUGCGGUAUGGGCUUUGCUCAUUGUUGAAGGCCGUACGGUGACCUAUAGUUGUUAAUGUCUGUGUCAUUUUGGUCUUUUGUGGACAGUUG